This 461-nucleotide ribosomal RNA is filed under the name uncultured bacterium. RNAcentral describes it as "partial 16S ribosomal RNA". It matches the Rfam family "Bacterial small subunit ribosomal RNA", at positions 338 to 795 of the family's 1533-position model. The record is from RNAcentral.
CCUACGGGUGGCAGCAGUGAGGAAUAUUGGUCAAUGGGCGAGAGCCUGAACCAGCCAAGUCGCGUGAGGGAAGACGGUCCUAUGGAUUGUAAACCUCUUUUGUCGGGGAGCAAAAAGGCCUCGUGAGGCCACAAGUGAGAGUACCCGAAGAAAAAGCAUCGGCUAACUCCGUGCCAGCAGCCGCGGUAAUACGGAGGAUGCAAGCGUUAUUCGGAUUUAUUGGGUUUAAAGGGUGCGUAGGCGGCCUUUUAAGUCAGCGGUGAAAGUCUGUGGCUCAACCAUAGAAUUGCCGUUGAAACUGGGAGGCUUGAGUAUGUUUGAGGCAGGCGGAAUGCGUGGUGUAGCGGUGAAAUGCUUAGAUAUCACGCAGAACCCCGAUUGCGAAGGCAGCCUGCCAAGCCAUGACUGACGCUGAUGCACGAAAGCGUGGGGAUCAAACAGGAUUAGAUACCCUAGUAGUC